AGCGACAGGCUUAACACAUGCAAGGUCAGGGGUAACAGGGUAGCAAUACCGCUGACGACCGGCGCACGGGUGAGUAACGCGUAUGCAACCUGCCUAUAACUGGGGAAUAGCUCCCUGAAAGGGGAAUUAACACCGCAUAAUACUAUUGAUUCGCAUGGAUUAGUAGUUAAAUGUAGCGAUACAGGUUAUAGAUGGGCAUGCGUGACAUUAGCUAGUUGGUGAGGUAACGGCUCACCAAGGCUACGAUGUCUAGGGGUUCUGAGAGGAAGGUCCCCCCACACUGGUACUGAGACACGGACCAGACUCCUACGGGAGGCAGCAGUGAGGAAUAUUGGUCAAUGGGCGCAAGCCUGAACCAGCCAUGUCGCGUGCAGGAAGAACCUGCCCUAUGGGUUGUAAACUGCUUUUAUAGUAGAAGAAACACAUCUACGUGUAGAUGUCUGCCAGUAUACUAUGAAUAAGCAUCGGCUAACUCCGUGCCAGCCGCCGC
This 490-nucleotide ribosomal RNA is filed under the name uncultured bacterium. Its description in RNAcentral is "bacterial SSU rRNA". It matches the Rfam family "Bacterial small subunit ribosomal RNA", at positions 39 to 518 of the family's 1533-position model. The record is from RNAcentral.